UCGAGAAUUUUUCUCAAUGGGCGAAAGCCUGAAGGAGCGACGCCGCGUGGAGGAUGAAGGUCUUCGGAUUGUAAACUCCUGUCAUGAGGGAGCAAGACACUGCGUUAACUGCGCGGGUGUUUGAUAGUACCUCAAGAGGAAGAGACGGCUAACUCUGUGCCAGCAGCCGCGGUAAUACAGAGGUCUCAAGCGUUGUUCGGAUUCAUUGGGCGUAAAGGGUGCGUAGGCGGCUAGGUAAGUCAGAUGUGAAAUUCCGGGGCUCAACCUCGGAACUGCAUUUGAUACUGCUUGGCUAGAGUACUGGAGAGGAGACUGGAAUUUACGGUGUAGCAGUGAAAUGCGUAGAUAUCGUAAGGAAGGCCAGUGGCGAAGGCGAGUCUCUGGACAGUAACUGACGCUGAGGCACGAAGGCUAGGGGAGCAAACGGG
Molecule: ribosomal RNA, 428 nt
Filed under: uncultured bacterium
Lineage: Bacteria
Description: bacterial SSU rRNA
Rfam family: Bacterial small subunit ribosomal RNA
Source: RNAcentral